UUGGGUAAAUAUGGUUCUCUAUUGUCGACUGCAUCACCACAGUUCUGGAGUACUUCUUCCAUGGUCGACCCAGAUAAGUUUUGAUGGAACCCACAACAGGCUUAAGAUCUGAGCUGGGUGUUAGGUUACAUUGUUGAAUUGAAGUUCCUGUGUUUUGGUUUGGAUCUUCUCUUCCUUGAGCCGUCACCAUGUUUUUUUGGUUACUCAUGGGCUUUCGGGCAACCAAGUUGCACUUUUGGAAGACGACGGCGGCGUUUCCAAAAAUGAAGUCAACGGUGCCGGUGAUGAAAGAGUCUCUGUAGAACUGCCUGUUGGAGUGUGCGUAGAGUGUGUCUUGGAAGGCAUCUAUGCGACAACGGUUUAUGACGGAUUUGUCGGCGCCUACGCGCAGAGCCACUGCUUGUUGCUUCUGUGGGCCUGCAGUGUUCUGGAACCAUAUGUCUUGACCUAUAAAUCCAUCCCCCACAGCAGCUGCAAACCCAUAUUACUACUUAGUUUCAGUUUUUCAAAAUUUAUCAUUACUCUCACAACUCACAACCAAUUCUACAUAGGACAAUAAUAGUUUAAUGCAAAAAAUAAUAAAGUUUGGUAAAACAUUGCAGUAGUAAGCAGAAGAAUGAGAAAAAAGAGAGAAAGAAAUGGAAGAGAUCCAUACCCACAGUUGCAGUCUGAAAUGUGCCCGUUCCGUCAACAUAAUUCAAGCUGCCGGUAAUUACAGUUAGAUCCUUACCAUCUCCAACGAGCAUCACGUUCUUCUUUGUCUGACAAAUUUCAACAUUCUCUUUAUAUGUUCCUUUUUUCACGUAAAUAACAUACCUUGUCUUACUGUUUACAGGUGCAGAUUUCACAGCCUCAGCCACAGUCUUAAACUUGUCGCUUCCAUCCUUGGCCACCACAACGUUGGCGUUGAUGUCCCCAACACUGGACUCCAAAAGCCUCCUAUCCUUGCUUCUCAACCACGAGGGAAACUCCCCAUUCAGUGGCUCAUCAACGAUUGGUUCAACCCUCGGGGGCAAAACAGUAACAAACAUAGCCAGAGUUGUUCUUGCUCUGGAUAUCAAGUCCUCGAGUUCAGCCUCCAUAAGUGCUCGAGCUGUCCCCUCUAACCCAUCCAAACAAGUUGCAUGGUUAGUGAGCACGCUACUUAGCCAUGUGUGUGCAUCUUGCUGUGACUCAGUGGUUUGGUUUGUUAGAGUUAGCAUUGAGUCCAAAACUCUGUCGAUGGAUAAAUCCAUCAGCUCCACGCAGUCGUUCAAAGCUGCUUCCUCCUUGGGACUGUUAACCCUAAGUUUGAUGGAACUAGCUGUGUUCAUGGCUCUCUGAAUGUGUGAGGUGGAUUUCAAUAAGAAAGAGUGGAACAAAUUGAAGCUGUGGUCUUUUGUUGUGGUGAAGAUGGGACCUUGAACCACUUCUGAGAGAUGUGCUAAGCAUGAUGGGUUAUCAAGUGCAUGAUGACAGAGAUGUUGAGGAGAGGAUUGGUUAAGGAAGGAACUGGGUUUGAUGAAAUAAGAAGCAGCAAAGAGUGAUGAGCAUAUGACAGCAGCUACAGAGAAGAUUAAACAGAUAGUUUUGGUAGCAGAAUUUCUUGGCCUCUCUAGCAGAGAUUCUUGGAUAGCCAUACUUGUAAGUGUUACUAGUGCCUUGUUUUGGCCAUGCAUCGUUGCCCUUAUAUAUAGGCCAAAACAACACUUCUUUAGAUAACAUAUACGUGCUUCUAAAUUGAUUAUGUAAUUUUUAUAAGAGCUUAAAAUGAUAGUUUUACAACUUCAGCACACAAGAUUCUAAAAUAAAUAUAUAUAAUAAAUAGUAAAUUUGUAAUUAAUUGAUAUAAAAAAAUAUUAAACUAAUAGUAUUAGGAGUUGUAUUACCUUCUUUCAAAUAUAAACAUUUUAAAACUUAAAAUAAUAAUAUUUUAUUUAUAAAUUUUUAUUUUAACUUAAAACUUUAAUAGCUAUUAUUAUAAUGGUUAAAACUCUUAAGUCCGUUAAAGAUAUAUGUAGAUAAGAGAUUAAAGCAUUUCAAAGGAUUUCAAAAUAUAUAAGGGAGUCUAAAUCUUACUUCAUAACUCAGUUUUAUGAAAUUGAGUUAUGUUUCAAAUUUAUUUCUUAAUAUGGUAUAUUUAUUAAUCUGAUUAUAUUUUGACAUUCUAUACAUUUUUAUAUUUAUUGUUUUAUUUUCUUUAUAUAUAUAUAUAUUUAAUAAUUAUAUUAAUUUUAAAAAUGAGUUAUUAAAUGAUGGGUGAAAUGUCAAAAUAUUAUUUUUAUUAUUAAAGUGUAAAGAUAUUAAUUACAAAUAAGAUAAUAAUCUUAUCACACUUUGUUAGAGUCAACAUUGAUUACUACUCCUGUGUAUAGACAUAUAUUUUGACAUGUAACUUCAAUAAUUCGCGAUUUUAUUCCCCUUUGUAUUUUGUGGAUGUUACUCGUGACAUGUGGUUAUGAAGUUCGAACACUUCUCUUAAAUGGUGUCUAAUUCAAAAAAUAUUUGUUAGAUUUCUGACAAUUCUAGUAGGGUCUAACACAAUUUUAAAAAGGAAAAAUACAUUAAUUUUCUAAAAAUUCAAAUUUUAUUGUAUAAAUUGUCAUUAUGAUUAUAAAAAUAAGAAUCAAAUUCUUGUGAACCAGUCAUGAAAAACAUCUUUCUGCUCUAAAAAAAAAAUCUGAAACAUAUUUGUGUACAUAAAUCUUUAUUGUCAAUUUAUAUAAUUAUAUAAUAUAUAGAACCGUGUCUCCGUGUCCUACAUUUUAGAGUUUACGUAUCUCCGUGUCCGUGUCCGUAUCGUAUAAGUGUUUGUGUUACACUACAAGAAAAACAACAUUUAGCUGCAAAGAAAAGUGACGGCCCACUUGUGGACACUAAAUAGUGUCAGCUUAACCUUCACAAUUAAAGAAAAAAAUAAUAAUAAUAAAAUUGAAGGUUUGGCUGACGCUAUGCCUACUUAAAUUUGAAGGCUUAACCUACACUAUCUCUACACUAUCUUAUUUUAAAUUUUUGAAGGUUUAGCCCCGCUAUAACUUUAAAAUUAAAUUUAAAUUGAAAGUCAAAAUACCCAACCAUGGUUUCAUUUUUGGGGGCUUAAACUCAUUCAAAAGCUUAAGCAUUUGAGCAACUUAGUAGUGGAGCAUUUGAGCAACUUAGUAGUGGAGCAUUUGAGCAACUUAGUAGUGGAGCAUUUGGAACGUGAUUGAGCAGUGGAGCAUUUGAGCAUUUGGUAUGUGAUUGAACGUGACCGUGAACGUGACCGUGAACGUGAUUGAGCAGUGGAUCGUGAGCAUUUGAGCGAGUGCGAUUGAGCGAUGGAGUGAGAACGACGGAGCGAGAGCAAUGGAGCGAGAGUGAUUGAGCGAGCGAGAGCUAUUGAGCGAUUGUACUCACAGUGAGUUUCCCUUCUCCUUUCUUAAUCUUUCGCAGUAACCCUAACUUCUCAAUUUCAGAUUGUGUUUGCUGAUAAUAUCCGAUGAUUGUUGCUAGAAGUCUCGGGGCAACGCUUGUGAUACCUGACAUCAGAGGAAACCAACCUGGUGAUAGAAUUUUAUUUUGUGUUUGAUGUUGCAUCCUGUGUUUGAUGUUGCAUCUUGUGUUUGAAGUUGAAUAAGAUUAGGCUAGGUUUCACAAAUGUCCAUAGCUUCCAACCCAUAUCCACUAGGAUACUAAGGAGCCACUUGCUUCUCAUUCUCAUAACCCUGCUCUCCACUGUAUCCUUCACCAAACCCAUUUCCAACACCAAACUCAACAUAGAAAUCAUCUUCAUGGUCACUUUCCUCGGUCACUUCCAAAAAAUAAAAGAACCUUGGCUUCUCCAAAAGCGUAUUCUUCAUGAUGGAAAAUAAAAUAGAAGAAAGAGUAGAAAAAAAAAAGGAACAGAAAGUACAACUGCAUUGUUCUGUAGUUUUCAUUUUGUGAGCCUUUUAUCUGCUCUUUAGUGCUCAAGAACCUAAGGUAUUUUGUAAUAGUGACAACACUAGAGUUUUCUUUUUCAAAUUUCUAAUAGCAUCUAACUUGUUGUUUUGGGUAUUUUUUACCAUUAAUUUCAAAGUUAUUGUUAUUAAUAUUGUUAUUAAUUUCAAAGUUAUUGUUAUUAACUUGUUGAUUACAAUACAAACAUCAAUGGUUUACUAACUAAGCUACAGUGCAGAAGCAGUGUGGAAUCACAUCACAGUGUUAGCAAAAAAACCAGUAUGUCCACUUCAAUAAUGGUUAUCCUUGAUGAAUUGGGAAAGUUGUUUGAACUUUGAAACAAAUAUUGUGUAUAUACCUACUAAUAUGCCCUCUGAAGUUCUAUUAUGCACCCUAAGACAGGUAUUAGGAGAUUUGUUAUGUCUAAUAGCUGCUUAGUUUUUCAUUUCCAUGCUGUUUUUUCAAGGUGACAAAACCUGUUGGAGUCGUGGAAGCUGAUUUAAAAUCAAAGACCGAGCAAAGCAUAAAGAAUGUNNNNNNNNNNNNNNNNNNNNNNNNNNNNNNNNNNNNNNNNNNNNNNNNNNNNNNNNNNNNNNNNNNNNNNNNNNNNNNNNNNNNNNNNNNNNNNNNNNNNCUAUUUCUUUUGACAACGAAUAAUAUAUAUAUUUGUUUUUUCUUUUAAAUUUUCUACAGGAAGAGUACUAGAUAAGACAUGACAGUUAUGUUGGGACAAGUCUGGUUAUAUUGUUGAUUUUGUUGUUAUUGCUGAUCUGUGAUUAGUAUUUAACUGCUUGGAAGAAGUUUUUCUUUGAUAAUUUAUAUUUGUUUAUGCUGUGAACUAUAUUUACAGGACAUCCGUGGAAAUGAUGUGAGUCUGAAUGAUUUCACUGGGAAGGUUAUACUGAUUGUGAAUGUUGUCUCACAAUGGUAACAUACUGUGUGUGUUCAGAAAGCUUAGGACUUGUGAUGUUACCUCCAUUGCAUAUAUGCCACAUCUUUAGGACUUCCAACAUAAACUUUUUGCUUAAUCAUCAUUCAAAUUAACAAAGUGAAGUGAAUUUUCCAACAACUCCCAAUCUUUGCUCACUUUCCUUUCGAUAAGAAAAGUUUGGUGUGCAGAAAGCUUCCUUGUCNNNNNNNNNNNNNNNNNNNNNNNNNNNNNNNNNNNNNNNNNNNNNNNNNNNNNNNNNNNNNNNNNNNNNNNNNNNNNNNNNNNNNNNNNNNNNNNNNNNNCUUCCAACUUCUUCUAUUUAAGUAUGUGAUCACAGACUCAAUCUUUAGUUCUUGAAGUCAAGAAUAUCAGAAUCCACACAAAAAGAAAGUUCAAAAACAAAAAGCACUUUAUUUUAUUUAUUCUUAUUCUAAAAAGUGACAAACGUAUUAAGAAAUGUCUAGAAAAAUACUAGUUACAGAAUAUUUAAUAUAUUUUCUCAUGAUCAUAAGCGCAUUCAAUAUAUUUUAAUAAAUUUUAAUUAUUUGAAGGUUAUUUGUUAAUGAAUAUUUUAAACACAUUACUAAAUAAGAAAUAUUUAAUAUAUUAAAUACUUUUAAUUGUUUUAAUAAUUUGUGUUAAACGUUAUUUCAUGCAGAGAUAUCUACAAGAGGACAAGUAGUGUUGUUGGGAAUGAUCCUUCACUUGCGGAGUCUCCAAAUGAGGACAAGUAGUGUUUUGAUGGUAUAUAAACUAACCAAUGGCUAAUUCUUUCACUUUUUAUUUAUGCAAAACCAUGAGUAUAUAUAGUGGGUUUUAUUUUUGCAUUGAUAAAUACACAUUAUAUACUUUGGGAUACACAUUGCUGGAAAGGUCAUGUUUGAGAUACAAAUUGUUAUUGUGUUACUNNNNNNNNNNNNNNNNNNNNNNNNNNNNNNNNNNNNNNNNNNNNNNNNNNNNNNNNNNNNNNNNNNNNNNNNNNNNNNNNNNNNNNNNNNNNNNNNNNNNNNNNNNNNNNNNNNNNNNNNNNNNNNNNNNNNNNNNNNNNUCAAAUUAUACCUUCACUAAUGUUUAUAGGAUGUCAACUCAUUUUUAGUUUUUUUCUACUUGAAUAGUUCGUUUCACUUUAUUGGUAGUUUUUGAAAUGUUAACUUCUAAUUUUUAAAAUGGUUUAAUAAAAAAUAAAUAAAAGGAAUUACUGAUAAUUUUUUAUAAAGAAAAUAGUAAGCAACUAGUUUUACAUUAAAAAAAAUAUAAUAACACUUAUAUAUUAUUUAAACAAUAAUUAAUUUUUCCUAAGAGAAAAUAUUAUUUUUUAUAAAAAACAAAAUAAAAGUUAGCGUGAUUAAAGUUGUCAGAUGAAAAAGAAUUUUAUAUUUUAAAAUAUUACUCUAAAGUCCAAAAACCUGUGUAGGCUAAGUUGUUUCAAAAUUGUGUGGUUGCUACGUAUACUUCAAAAUUGUGUGGGUUAAGUGUAGGCUAAGCCCCGCUUUUAUAAUUUUUGUGUGACCAUGCGAAGGCUUGUGUGUAGGCUAAGCCCGCUUUUAUAAUUUUUGUGUAACCAAUGUGAAGGUUUGUGUGUAGGCUAAGCCCCGCUUAGAAUAUAAAUAUAUUUUUUACGUGACCAAUGCUAAGGCUAAGCUCACAGUUGGAUAAAAAUUGUGUGGCCCAUGAGUAGGCUUAGCCCACGCUUUUUUUAAUAAAUAAUAUAAAAUGUGGGCAAAAUGUAGGCUAGGCCUAUGCAAAAAUGUGUCCAACCCAACCCCUACUAUUUUACGUCGAACAUAUUAGCUGCCACAUUUAAGUUGAUGAUAAGCCUACGCUAAUUACACUUUUCGUUCGUUUACUGCACCUAUUGUCCGUUUUUUGGCCUAUGCUAAAAAGGAUAUUUCUUGUAGUGUUAGUGUUUGUGCUACAUAACAAUAACAAUAAGGUAAUAUUUAUAAUCCAAAAUUUUUAUACCAGACAUUACCAUUCUCAAUAUUAUUAUUUUAAUAUUUUUUUAUAUUAUUUAAUUAUAAUUUCACUUUUUAUUAUAUAUAUUUAUAUUUAAAUAAAUCAUAUUAAAAAUUUGUAUAUAAUUUUCAUGAUUUGUCAAAUAUCAUUUCUCCUUCAAUAAUUCACCAUUUUCUUCCCCUUUGUAGGUUGUGGAUCCGACAGUAUAAUUUUUAUGUACCAUUACUUGAAACCGUGUGUGGCAUGUGAUUUUAUUUAAAAAUAUAAUAUAUUUAUUAUAUAAAUUUGAUUUCUCAAAAUUUAAAAUAAUAACAAAUAGUAUAGUAUGUAUAAUAUAUAUAAAAGUUUAUUAUUAUAUAACUUAUUUUUCACAUUUUUACAACACCAAUUCAAUUGUGUGGAGAUGAUCUUUCUUCAUUUUUUCACUAAACUAAUUAAUAUCCAGAUUUUUUUUUCAUUUCAUUAUGUACAAUUACUGGCCAUCAAAAUUCUAGCAAUUUAAACUAAAAAUAUAAUUAAAUUUUAAGUCAACUUUAGUUUUGUAUGUAUUAUGUCUUUUCGUUUAGUUCAAUUGAGCCUUAAACUAAAUAUCUUUGUUUAAGACACCUUAAAAAUAUAUUAAUCAAUUAAAAUAAUAAUAUAAAACACAUAAACAGCUAAAAGAAAAUAAUAAAGACAAGUAGUGUAAGGGGAACCAGACUAGUAUUUUAGCUGAAAAUAAAUUAAUAAUUAAACUUAAAAAUAUCAUAUAAGUAUUAAAUUUGAGCAAUGGGAUUCAUAUAAUAUAUUAAAAUGAAAAGUCACUUUUAUUAACUAAUGAUGAUUUUAUUUUUAAUUAUGCCGUUUUCAAAAACAAUUUUAUUCUUUUGGAAAUAAUAUAUUUUAAAUUUAUUAACAUAGCCAGUUUGAACUAAAAUAUAUUUAAACAAAUUUCUCUAAGUAAGUCUGUUUGGGAAAAAUAAAAAAAUGAAAUGAAUUUUAAAUUUUUGUGUAGAUAAACUAAAAAUAAGAAUUUAGAUAAGUUAUAUAAAAGAGCUGUUAUAUAUUAAUUUUUAGUUAUAUAUUAUUUAUAUAUACCUAUAAAAGAGUUUAUCCAAAUAUAUUAUAAAUAUUCCAUCAUAAUUAUGCUAGUGCAUUCGUUGUGUCCUUAGAAAUAAAAUAAAAUAAAUUGUUUAUAUUAUCACUAGAAGAAAAUUAUGAAAUAGAAAUCAAUUUUUAGAUAAUUAGUUACAAUAGGAACUAAAAUAGAGACCAUUUUAGAAACUAAAAAAAUUGGUUUCUAAAUUAGUUUCUAUUAUUUUCUAUUAUUGUUAAAUAGUUUCUAAAUUGGUAUUUAAUUAGUAACUAAAGUUUUAACUACCAAUAAUUUAGUUUCUAAAUUUGGUAGCAAAAACGUUGGUUGCUAAUUAGAUACCAAUUUAGAAACUAUUUAACAAUAAUAUAAAAUAAUAGAAACUAAUUUAGAAAUCAAAUUUUUUUUGUUACUAAUUUAGAAAUCAAAUUGGUUUCUACCAAGGUUUCUAUUUUAUGAUUUUCUUAUAGUGUAUUUAUUUUAAAAAUAAAUCAUUAUUUGUGUUAUUAAUUUCUUAUUUAUUAUUAGUAUUAAUGGUUUAUUGUUAUGUUAUUAUUAUAAAAAAUAGCAACAUAUUCCUGUUAAGGUUUUCACCAAUUCAACACAUUGUCCGUUGUUCAAAAUAAAUGAAAUAAUGUAUUGAAACCACUUAAAAUGUACGAAAUUAUAUAUAUCAGAAUUAUUGAUCAUAAUAUAUAAACAAGUCAAGUGAUAUAACAUAAUACAAUUUUAAAUAUUAAUAAUGUAUAAAAAUUAUUGAUCAUAGUAUUCUUAUAAACAAGUCUAUGAAGUAAUUGUAUACUUAAAACAUUAUUUUCCGAUUUAUCAAUCUGAUUAUAUUUUGACAUUCAAUACAUUUAUUUAUUUAUUUAUCAUUUUUAUUUUCUUUAUUUUUCUUUUUUAUUAAUAUAAAAAUUUAUUUUUUAAUAACUAUAUUAUUUUUAAAAAUAAUUUAUCAAAUGAUGGGUGGAAUGUCAAAUAUAAUUUUUAUUAUUAGAAUGUAAAGAUAUUAAUCCCAAAAAAUAUAAGAAAAACUAUGUUCUACAAUGUGAUGAUUUUAGUAAAAAAUAUAUACAGUAAAAAUUAAAUUUAUAAUUAAAUAAUAUAAUAUUUUUUUAUUAAAAUGACAUUAUUAUUAAUUGUUAAGAGAUUUAGGGAAAAGUUUCAACAUAAAAAAAUCUUCAUAAUUAAUUAAAUAUUAAUUUAAAAAAUAUUUAUAAAUAAUAAAUAUUAAUUUAAAUAUAUAUAUAUAUAUAUAUAUUUAUUUUUUAUAAAUAAUAUUUAAUAUAAUUAAUGUAAUAACUAAUUAUUUUUAAUCAACCGACACUCCUACUCUAUAUUCCUGUCAUUUUAUUAAUUCACCCGUCCCUUUUAGUACUUUGUGAAUCUUACUACUCCAAUAGACAUAUAGCUUCAAUAAUCUAAUAUUUUCUUAUUCUUUGUACUUUGUGGACCCCACAAAUAUUCCUGACAAAUGAUAUCUCUUAUUACAAAUGUUGUUUAAUAAAAUAUUAUACCAAUAAUUUUUUUUUAAAAAUAAUAUAUAAUUUAAUUAAUAUAGUAAUUAAUUAUCUUUUAUUUUUAUAAUUUUUUUAAAUAUUUUUUUUAGUAUACAACAUUAGUUUUCUUUUUUAAAUGAGAAAUAACUUUUUAUAUUAAACGGAAAUAGAUAAGAAAAUAAAUUAUUUUAAGUUGAGAAUAUUAUCUUUGUUUAAAUAAAAAUAAGAUAAAAGAGGUAGGUACGAAAUUGUGUACGAUUGAUGUAUUAGGUAGGAUGAUUGUGUACAAAUAAACAUUUAAUUGGGUACCUUGCAAAAUUAAUUGAGGAACAAAAACUUCAAGACUAUUGUACAUAUAGGAAAUUAGAAUUCAUUUAUUAAUAAUUAUAAAUUGAAUAUUUUAUUUUAUUUUACAUAAGUAUUUUUAAGUUAAAAAAUAUUUUUUUAUUAUUGUUAGAUGUUAAGACUUUCUUAGAAAGACAUUUCAAUUGUGAUUUGCCUCUUUUGGUGAACACUAGUUACUUUUACUGAAGUGUAACUUUUAUUGAUUUGUCUUUAUUAAUUUUAUAAUAUGAUUAAAUUUAAAUUUAUUUUGUUUCGAGAAGUGAGAUUAUUUUGAACAUUAAUAAAAGGAUUUCAUGCCAUGAAUACGGAAUUAAAGUUUUAAAAAUAAAACUUAAGAAAUCAUCAUAUUUUUAAAAAUAACAUACAUUUUUUUAUGAAAAUAUAUAAUCAAUUUUGAAUGGUUUUUAUUAAAAUAGGAAUAUUUUGUCCAAUUAUAUAUAUAUUUUUUACAAUUGAAGUUCUAAUUAAACUCACGAUUUAAAAAUUUAAUAUAUAAUUUCAUAUUUUUCAUAUUUUUAUUUGAAAUUGUGAGUUGGGAUAGAAUUUAGUUGUGAGUCCAAAUUCACAUUAAAUUCAAUACCAUCAUUACAAGUGUUAUCAUAUAUGAGUGCAUUAAUUUAACAGUCUUUCAUUUUGUAAUAUUGAGAUUACUAUACGAGGUAAAUAUAUGUUGAUUACUAUACGGGAUAAAACAGUAAUAGUGAAAAGUAAAAACUGUUCUAGUCUCUAUAUUUUUUAUUUUUUUAUUAAUAUUUUUCAUGUGAUAAUAAAUUAAUCAAAAAAUGUAUUAAAUAAAAAGUAAAAAGUGUGCGUGUUCAUGUGUUAGUGGUGAAGACUGAAAAGUGAAAAGUGUUGAAUGUUUUGUAUUGAUUAGUAGAAGAGGUAAAUGGUUUUUAAUUUAAUUCAUUUUUAAGAGUGAAAAUUGAAAAGUGUAAAUGAAAUACACAGACACAUGGUACCAGUUUGAGGUCGAGGAUGUCUUUGACUUCUGUGCAGAAGACAAAUUGUCUCUAACAACCACUGUUUUUCAGUUUCUUUUUAUCAGAAAAAUUUAAAUAAAAAUAAAAAACAAGAAAUUGUGAACGAAUUCCAAAUUUUUUGUAAAUAAAUUAUAUAAAAUUUUGCAAAUACAUUAAUUAAUUUUUAAAAAUUCAAAUUUAUAUUAUAUGAAUUUUUAUUACGAUUAUAAAAAUAAGUAAUAAAUAUUUUGAAGUAGUUAUGAAAAAUAUUUUUUUUAAAAAUAUUAAAACAUAUUUAUACAUGUAAAUUUUUAUUAUUAAUUUAUAUAAUUUAUAAUUUAUAAUUAUAUAAUAUAUGUAUUUUUGUGUUUUUUGUAUUUUAUAUUUUAAAUAUUUUUCGUAUUUUUGUACUGUAUCAAUGUCAUGCUACAUAUAUCAUAACAGAAAUUAAUACUGUCAUAAAUUUGAGACGACUUCAAUUAAAAGGUAAAAUUAUUUAAAAUUAAAUAAACAUAAAAUCAUGCUAAAAAGUAUAAUUUUUAUAUUUCAAAGUCAUACUUUCAAUUACAACUUAUCUAUUUUCAUAAAAAAUAAUAAUUUUAAUAAAAAUCAUUCAAAAUUAUACUAUUUCCACAAAAAUAGAUAAUAUACACAUUUAUGUCAUAAUUCUGUGUCUACUAGUGUGUUUAGUUCAAAACUUACAUAUUUUCAAAAGUUUUUGGUACUUUCAAUAAAAAAAACUCUUGAAAUGAUUAUAUUAAUUUAUUAUGGAGACAAAUGCAAAUGCAGUUCCACUUUCCGCCUUACAAUUAUUAUUAUUCUUAGAGAAAAGUAUGACAAUGAAGUGUGGCAAUUAUUAUUUUUCAAAGAAAAGCAUAAGUCAAGUAUAUGUAUUUCGUUUUCCAUUAUUUGCACGAGUCAUAAUUAGAAUUGCACCUAGUUUAUCCACUUAUUCAUUGCACCUCACCUUUGUCUUUACUUUUUUUUUAUUAUUAUUAUUAUUUAAAUAUAAAGAAUUAGAAGCUAAUAAAGUAGGAUGUAGUGUUAUACACUUCAACCAAUCUCAUUUUACUUAUAAACUCUUUAGAGUUACAUUACACAUUAUUAUUAUUUUUAUAGAAUUUUAAAUUACUUAAAAAGUUAUAGAGAAUAAUCACAACACUUUUUUUAGAUUUUUUCUUUUUAUAACAUAUUUUUUUAAAUAAUAUAUUUUAAUAAAUCUUUUUAUCACACUCUUCAUUUUACAAUUUCUAAUAAUGAAAAAUUAUGUUCCAAACACUCUUCGAACUACAUAGGUAUGUUAUAUCCUAAAAUUUUGUGAAAAAUCAAAGUUAUCUUUUAGCAAAAUUUGUGAAAUUUCGCGCUACUUCUGCAAUUUUAUUUUGGGUCCAUAUUGCAUUGAAAAAAAUCGAAAAAAUUCACACUAGUACUUUCAUAUGUUGUUUGCACCUUGCUAAGGAGACACAUCCAUAAACAAAUCACAAAAAGGGAGAUAUAGGGAAGAAAAGCCAGGACAUUUCAUUUUCGAAAAACCGGUUUUGUUCACUCUCGGUUUGGGUCUUACUAUGCCCAAUUACUUGGGUCUAUUGGUUUGAAAAUUUUACAAGACAUUCGUCAUUGUGUGUAUUGAGUUUCGACUGAGAUUUGAGCCCCAGAUUCGUCCCACAUGAUUUUUUAUUCAUCACUACCAUGGUUGAAAGGAAAGUUCGUUUGUGUAUGAAAUUGUUUGAUUUUUUUCCUAGGAGAAUACUAAUCCGUUUGACGUGAAAUUUGUCACGUUUUGUCCCAAAUUCAGUCCAUAUUCUUACGUGCAAUUUCAGGAAAAAAAUAUUUCAGGACAAUUUUUCUGAAAUUUGUGAAAAUCCAAAUUUGUGAAAUUUUGUCAUACUUUCUGCAAUUUUAUUUUGGGUCCAUAAUUGCAUUGAAAAAUUUCAAAAAAUUUCACACAAGUACUUUCCUAUGUUGUUCGCACCCUGCUAAGGACGCCCGUCCAUAAACAAAUCACAAAAUGGGAGAUAUAGGGUAGAAAAGCCAGGACAUUUUUUUUUCUGGGUCUUACUAUGCCCUAUUCCUUGGGCCUUUUGGUCUAAAUAUUUUACCAGACAUUCGUCAUUGUGUGUAUUGAGUUUUGGCUGAGAUUUGAGCCCCAAAUUAGUCCCACAAGAUUUUCAAUAAAUUUUUUAUUCAUCACUGUCAUGGUUGAAAGGAAGGUUCGUUUGUGUGUGAAACUGUUUGAUUUUUUUUCCUAGGUGAAUAUUAAUCUGUUUGACGUGAAAUUUGUCGCAUUUUGUUCCAAAUUAAGUCUAGAUUCUUAUGUGGAAUUUCAAAAUAAAAUUAUUUCGGAACAAUUUUUCUGAAAUUUUGUGAAAAACCAAGGCUAUCCUCUAGCAAAAUUUGUAAAAUUUCGCCCUACAAUCUGCAAUUUUAUUCAGGAUCCAUAUUGCAUUGAAAAAUUCAGAAAAAAUUAACACUAGUACUUUCAUAUGUUGUUUGCACCUUGCUAAGGAGACACAUCCAUAAACAAAUCACAAAAAGGGAGAUAUAGGGAAGAAAAGUCAGGACAUUUCAUUUUCGGAAAACCGGUUUUGUUCACUCUCGGUUUGGGUCUUACUACGCCCAAUUCCUUGGGUCUUUUGGUCUGAAAAUUUUACCAGACAUUCGUCAUUGUGUGUAUUGAGUUUUCGUUGAGAUUUGAACCCCACAUACAUCCCACAAGAUUUUCAAUAAUUUUUUUAUUCAUCGCUGCCAGGGUUGAAAGGAAGGUUCGUUUGUGUGGGAAACUGUUUGAUUUUUUUUCCUAGGUGAAUAUUAAUCUGUUUGACGUGAAAUUUGUCGCAUUUUGUUCCAAAUUAAGUCUAGAUUCUUAUGUGGAAUUUCAAAAUAAAAUUAUUUCGGAACAAUUUUUCUGAAAUUUUGUGAAAAACCAAGGCUAUCCUCUAGCAAAAUUUGUAAAAUUUCGCCCUACAAUCUGCAAUUUUAUUCAGGAUCCAUAUUGCAUUGAAAAAUUCAGAAAAAAUUAACACUAGUACUUUCAUAUGUUGUUUGCACCUUGCUAAGGAGACACAUCCAUAAACAAAUCACAAAAAGGGAGAUAUAGGGAAGAAAAGUCAGGACAUUUCAUUUUCGGAAAACCGGUUUUGUUCACUCUCGGUUUGGGUCUUACUACGCCCAAUUCCUUGGGUCUUUUGGUCUGAAAAUUUUACAAGACAUUCGUCAUUGUGUGUAUUGAGUUUCGACUGAGAUUUGAGCCCCAGAUUCGUCCCACGUGAUUUUUUAUUCAUCACUACCAUGGUUGAAGGAAAGUUCGUUUGUGUAUGAAAUUGUUUGAUUUUUUUCCUAGGAGAAUACUAAUUCGUUUGACGUGAAAUUUGUCACUUUUUGUCCCAAAUUCAGUCCAUAUUCUUACGUGCAAUUUCAGGAAAAAAUUAUUUCAGGACAAUUUUUCUGAAAUUUGUGAAAAUCCAAGGCUCCUCUAGCAAAAUUUGUGAAAUUUUGCCAUACUUUAUGCAAUUUUAUUUUGGGUCCAUAAUUGCAUUGAAAAAUUCUGAAAAAUUUCACACAAGUACUUUCCUAUGUUGUUCGCACCCUGCUAAGGACGUCCGUCCAUAAACAAAUCACAAAAUGGGAGAUAUAGGGUAGAAAAGUCUGGACAUUUUUUUUCGAUAUCCGGUUUUAUUCACUCUCGGUCUGGGUCUUACUAUGCCCUAUUCCUUGAGUCUUUUGGUAUGAAAAUUUUACAAGACAUUCGUCAUUGUGUUUAUUGAGUUUUGGCUGAGAUUUGAGCUCUAGAUUCGUCCCACAAGAUUUUCAAUAAAUUUUUUAUUCAUUACUGUCAGGGUUGAAAGGAAGGUUCGUUUGUGUGUGAAAUUGUUUGAAUUUUUUCGUAGGUGAAUACUCAUCCAUUUGAUGUGAAAUUUGUCGCGUUUUGUCCCAAAUUUGAUCCAGAUUCUUAAGUGGAAUUUCAGGGAAAAGUUAUUUUGCGACAAUUUUUCUGAAAUAUUCUGAAAAACCAAGGCUAUCCUCUAGAAAAAUUUGUGAAAUUUCGUCCUACUUUCUACAACUUUAUUUUGGGUCCUUAUUGCGUCGAAAAGUUCUGAAAAAAUUCACACUAGUACUUUCAUAUGUUGUUUGCAUCCUGUUAAGGAGGCACGUCCAUAGACAAAUCACAAAAAGGGAGAUAUAGGGAAGAAAAGCCAGAACAUUUCAUUUUUGGAAAACCGAUUUUGUUCACUCUCGGUCUGGGUGAUACUAUGCCAUAUUCCUUGGUUCUUUUGGUCUGAAAAUUUUACCAGCCAUUCGUCAUUGUGUGUAUUGAGUUUUGGCUAAGAUUUGAGUCCCAGAUUUGUCCCACAAAAUUUUCAAUAAAUUUUUUAUUCACCACUGCCACGGUUGAAAGGAAGGUUCGUUUGUGUGUGAAACUAUUUGAUUUUUUUCCUAGGUGAAUACUCAUCUGUUUGACAUGAAAUUUUUCGCGUUUUGUCCCAAAUCCAGUCCAGAUUCUUAUGUGGAAUUUCAGGAAAAAAUUUCUUUCAGGACAAUUUUUCUGAAAUUUGUGAAAAUCCAAGGCUAUCAUCCUCUAGCAAAAUUUGUGAAAUUUAGUCCUACUUUCUUCAAUUUUAUUAUGAGUCCUUAUUGCGUUGAUAAAUUCCGAAAAAAUUCACACAAGUAGUUUCAUAUGUUGUUUGCAUCCUGCUAAGGACACCUGUCCAUAAACAAAUCACAAAAUGGAAGAUAUAGGGUAAAAAGCCAGGACAUUUUGUUUUCAGAAAAUCGGUUUUGUCCACUCUCGAUCUGGGUCUUACUACGCCCUAUUCCUUGGGUCUUUUGGUAUGGAAAUAUUACCACACAUUCGUCAUCGUGUUUAUUGAGUUUUGGCUGAGAUUUGAGCCCCAGAUUCGUCCCACAAUAUUUUCAAAUAAAUUUUUUAUUCAUCACUGCCACGGUUGAAAUGAAGGUUUGUUUGUGUGUUAAACUGUUUGAUUUUUUUCGUAGGUGAAUACUCAUUCGUUUGACGUGAAAUGUGUCGAGUUUUGCCCCAAAUUCAGUAUAGAUUCUUACAUAGAAUUUUAGGAAAAAAAUAUUUUGGGACAAUUUUUCUAAAAUUUUGAGAAAAACCAAGGCUAUCCUCUAGCAGAAUUUCAGAUGCUUUGCCAUAGUUUCUGCAAUUAUAUUAUGGGUCCAUAUUGCGUUGAAAAAUUCCGAAAAAAUUCACACUAGUACUUUCAUAUGUUGUUUGCACCUUGCUAAGGAGGUACGUCCAUAAACAAAUCACAAAAAGAGAGAUAUAGGGAAGAAAAGCCAAGACAUUUUGUUUUCAGAAAACCGUUUUUGUUCACUCUUGGUUUGGGUCUUACUACGCCCUAUUCCUUGGAACUUUAUGUCUGAAAAUUUAAUCAGACAUUCGUCAUUGUGUUUAUUGAGUUUUGGCUGAGAUUUGAGCCCUAGAUUCAUCCCACGAGAUUUUAAAUAAAUUUUUUAUUCAUCACUGCCAAAGUUGAAAGGAAGGCUCGUUUGUGUGUGAAACUGUUUGAUUUUUAUCCAAGGUGAAUACUCAUCUGUUUGUCGUGAAAUUUGUCGCGUUUUGUUCCAAAUUCAGUCUAGAUUCUUACAUGGAAUUUCAGGAAAAAAUUAUUUCGGGGAAAUUUUUCUGAAAUUUUGUGAAAAAACCAAGGCUUUCCUCUAGCAAAAGUUUUGAAAUUUCGCCAUACAUUCUGCAAUUUUAUUCUGGGUCCUUAUUGCGUUGAAAAAUUCUGAAAAAUCUUGGACCUUUUGGUCUGAAAAUUUUCCCAAACAUUCGUCAUUAUGUUUAUUGAGUUUUGGCUUAGAUUUGAGCCCCAUAUUCGUCCUACAAGAUUUUCAAUUAAUUUUCUAUUCAUCACUGCCAGGGUUGAAAGGUUCGUUAGUGUGUGAAACUGUUUGAUUUUUUCCUAGGUCAAUACUCAUCCGUUUGACAUGAAAUUUGUCGCGUUUUGUUUCAAAUUCAGUCCAGAUUCUUACGUGGAAUAUCAGGAAAAAUUUAUUUCGGGACAAUUUUUCUGAAAUUUUGUGAAAAACCAAGGGUAUCUGCAAAAUUUGUGAAAUUUCGUCUUACUUUCUGCAAAUUUAUUCUAGGUCCUUAUUGCGUCAAAAAAUUCCGAAAAAAUUCACACUAGUACUUUCUUAUGUUGUUUCCUCCCUGCUAAGGAGGCACGUCUAUAAGCAAAUCAAAAAAAGAGAGAUAUAGGGAAUAAAAGCUAGGACAUCUGUUUUCGAAAAACAAAUUUUCUUCACUCUCGGUCUGGGUCUUACUUCGCCCUAUUGCUUGAGUCUUUUGGUCUGAAAAUUUUACCAGACAUUCGUGAUUGUGUGUAUUGAGUUUUGGCUGAGAUUUGAGCAUCAGAUUCAUUCCACAAGAUUUUCAAUAAUUUUUUAUUUAUUACUGCCAGGUUUGAGAAGAAGGUUCGUUUGUGUGUCAAACUGUUUGAUUUUUUUCCUAGGUGAAUACUCAUCCGUUUGACGUGAAAUUUGUUGCGUUUUGUCCCAAAUUCAAUCCAGAUUCUUACAUAAAAUUUCAAAAAAAAAUUAUUUCGGGACAAUUUUUUUGAAAUUUUGUGAAAAACCAAGGCUUAGGAAAAUUUGUGAAAUUUCGCCUUACACUCUAAUAUUUUAUUCAAUGUCCUUAUUGCGUUGAAAAAUUCCAAAAAAAUUCACACUAGUACUUUCAUAUGUUGUUUGCACCUUGCUAAGGAGGCACGUCAAUAAACAAAUCACAAAAAAGGAGAUACAGUGAAGAAAAGCCAUGACAUUUUGUUUUCGAAAAACCGAUUUUCUUCACUCUCUGUCUGGGUCUUACUACGCCCUAUUGCUUAGGUCUUUUAGUUUGAAAAUUUUACCAGACAUUCGUCAUUGUGUGUAUUGAGUUUUGGCUGAGAUUUAAGCCUAGGAUUUUCCCCACAAGGUUUUAAAUAAAUUUUUAAUUCAUCACUACCACAGUUGAAAGGAAGGUUCCUUUGUGUGUGAAACUAUUUGAUUUUUUUCUUAGGUGAAUACUCUUCCGUUUGACGAGAAAUUUGUUGCGUUUUAUCCCAAAUUUAGUCCAGAUUCUUACGUGGAAUUUUAGGAAAAAAUUAUUUCGGGACAAUUUUUCUGAAAACCAAGGUUAUCCUAUAGCAAAAUUUGUGAAAUUUCGCUCUACUUUCCACAAUUUUAUUUUGGGUCCUUAUUGCGUUGAAAAAUUUCACACUAGUACUUUCAUAUAUUGUUCGCACCCUGCUAAGGACGCCCGUCCAUAAACAAAUCACAAAAUGGGAAAUAUAGGGAAGAAAAGCCAGGACUUUUUUUUCUCAGAAAACUUGUUUUGUUCACUCUCGGUCUGGGUCUUACUACGCCCUAUUUCUUGGGUCUUUAGGUCUGAAAUUUUAUCAGACAUUCGUCAUUGUGUUUAUUGAGUUUUGGCUGAGAUUUGAGCCCCCGAUUCGUCCCACAAAAUUUUCAAUAAAUCUUUUAUUCAUCAUCGCCAAAGUUGAAAGGAAGGCUCGUUUGUGUGUGAAAUUGUUUGAUUUUUUUCCUAGGUGAAUACUCAUCCGUUUGACGUGAAAUUUGUCGUGUUGUGUUCCAAAUUCAGUCUAGAUUCUUACGUGGAAUUUCAGGAAAAAAUUAUUUCGGGAAAUUUUUCUGAAAUUUUAUGAAAAACCAAUGCUAUCCUCUAGCAAAAUUUGUGAAAUUUCGGACUACAUUAUGCAAUUUUAUUUUGGGUCCUUAUUGCGUUGAAAAAUUCUGAAAAAAUUCACACAAGUACUUUCAUAUGUUGUUUGCACCCUGCUAAGGACGCCCGCCCAUAAACAAAUCACAAAAUGGGAGAUAUAGGGAAGAAAUUUUGUUUUCGGAAAAUUGAUUUUGUUCACUCUCGGUUUGGGUCUUACUACGCCGUAUUCCUUGGGUUUUUUGGUCUAAAUAUUUUACCAGACAUUUUUCAUUGUGUGUAUUGAGUUUUGGCUGAGAUUUGAGCCCCAGAUUCGUCGCACAAUAUUUUAAAUAAAUUUUUUAUUCAUCACUACCAUGGUUGAAAUGAAGAUUCGUUUGUGUGAAACUGUUUGAUUUUUUUCCUGGGUGAAUACUCAUCCGUUUGACGUCAAAUUUGUCGUGUUUUGUCCUAAAUUCAGUCCAUAUUCUUACAUGGAAUUUCAGGAAAAAAUUAUUUCGGGACAAUUUUUCUGAAAUUUGUGAACAUCCAAGGUUAUCCUUUAGCAAAAUUUGUGAAAUUUCGCCAUACUUUCUGCAAUUUUAUUAUGAGUCCUUAUUGCGUGGUUAAAUUCUGAAAAAAUUCACACAAGUACUUUUAUAUGUUGUUUGCACCCCGCUAAGGACGUCCGUCCAUAAACAAAUCACAAAAUAGGAGAUAUAGGAUAGAAAAGCCAAGACAUUUUGUUUUCAGAAAACCAAUUUUGUUAAAUCUCGGUUUGGGUCUUACUACGCUCUAUUCGGUCCCAGACAUUCUUUAUUGUGUUUAUUGAGUUUUGGCUGAGAUUUGAGCCUCAGAUUCUUCCUACAAGAUUUUCAAUAAAUUUUUUAUUCAUCACUGCCAUGUUUGAAAGGAAGAUUCGGUUGUGUGUGAAACUGUUUGAUUUUUUUCCUAAGUGAAUACUCAUCCGUUUGAUGUGAAAUUUAUCGCGUUUUGUCCCAAAUUUAAUCCAGAUUCUUACGUGGAAUUUCAGGAAAAAAUCAUUUUGUGACAAUUUUUCUGAAAUUUUGUGAAAAACCAAGACUAUCCUCUACCAAAAUUUAUGAAAUUUCGCCCUACUUUCUGCAAUUUUAUUCUGGGUCCUUAUUGCGUUGAAAAAUUCCAAAAAAAUUCACACUAGUAUUUUCAUAUGUUGUUUGCACCCUGCUAAAGAGGCACGUCCAUAAACAAAUCAAAAAAAAGGGAGAUUUAGGGAAGAAAAACUAGGGCAUUUUGUUUUCGGAAAACCGAUUUUGUUCACUCUCGGUGUGGGUCUUACUACGCCCUAUUUCUUGGGUCUUUUGGUCUGAAAAUUUUACCAGACAAUCGUCAUUGUGUGUAUUGAGUUUUGGCUGAGAUUUGAACACCAGCUUCGUCCUACAAAAUUUUCAAUAAAUUUUUUAUUCAUCACUGCCAGUGUUUAAUGAAAAGUUCGUUUGUGUGUGAAACUGUUUGAUUUUUUUUACUGGUUGAAUACUGAUCAACUUAUAGUUAUCCAACCUUCUAUAAAAGUUAUUUUUUGCAUAUUAUUAAAUAGAUUGUAACGUCAAAAUAUUGAUAAGGAAACAUAUAAUUGAUAUAUUAAAAUUUAGUCGCGCAUAUUUAUAUUUUAUAAAAGAUAUUAAAUAAUUAUGCAAAUAUUUAUAUAUAUAUAUAAUGAGUCUUUGAGAAAUAAUUGGUUAUAAGAUUUUAUAACUUUAUAAGAUUAAACUAUAUACGUAUUUCUAUAUACCCACACAUCAAAAUGUAUUUCCUGCAAAACAGUCUUAAAAUAUAUCUCUUCAGUGAUAUCAUACUAAAUAAAAUGUUUCUUAAUUACUUUAUGCAUUUUUAUAAGUACAUUUGUAUGUAUUGAAAAAUUUUCUUGUUCUGAAACAAUACCAAAGUUUUUAGUAAAACAAAAUGCAAGCUAGUCUGAUAGAAAUUACUUGAGGUGCAUUAAUAUAGUUUAUUACAUAUUCAAACACCGUGUUAGUGGAAACCUUGUCAAAGACGAAGGAAACUUGAUGCUAACUAAAAUGUCUAAACGCCAUUAAAGAUGUUUUUAUUUAAUUUCCUCUGAAAAAACACACACAUGAGACAGAAAGAAGCAUUUAGAGGCCUUCAAUGAAGUUGACACCGGUGUUCUUCAACCAAACAUUUCCUUGGAUGAGCUGUGUUACAGUGAACUUGCUGGCUUCUGCUGCAGUUUUGAUUACAUGAUAACCAGGCCAAGUCACUCUCUUGCUCGUUCCAGCACCAGCUCCACUGUUCAUGUACUCUCCAUAAUACAACGUUUGCAAAAAGUCCUUACUCUGAGCAUCCCACUCUGCCCAUCCCGUUGGAUCAACAUGGUUAUCUAUUGUCGACUGCAUCACCACAGUUCUGGAGUACUUCUUCCAUGGUCGACCCAGAAAAGUUUUGAUGGAACCCACAACAGGCUUAAGAUCUGAGCUGGGUGUUAGGUUACACUGUUGAAUUGAAGUUCCUGUGUUUUGGUUUGGAUCUUCUCUUCCUUGAGCCGUCACCAUGUUUUUUUGGUUACUCAUGGGCUUUCGGGCCACCAAGUUGCACUUCUGGAAGACGACGGCGGCGUUUCCGAAAAUGAAGUCAACGGUGCCGGUGAUGAAAGAGUCUCUGUAGAACUGCCUGUUGGAGUGUGCGUAGAGAGUGUCUUGAAAGGCAUCUAUGCGACAACGGUUUAUCACGGAUUGGUCGGCGCCUACGCGCAGAGCCACCGCUUGGUGUUUCUCCGGUCCCGCCGUGUUCUGAAACCAUAU
RNAcentral lists this long non-coding RNA (21117 nucleotides) under Phaseolus vulgaris (common bean). RNAcentral describes it as "long non-coding RNA (PVUL_LNC004326)". Lineage: Eukaryota; Viridiplantae; Streptophyta; Magnoliopsida; Fabales; Fabaceae. The record is from RNAcentral.